GCAGUCGAGCGGAUGAAGGGAGCUUGCUCCUGGAUUCAGCGGCGGACGGGUGAGUAAUGCCUAGGAAUCUGCCUGGUAGUGGGGGAUAACGUCCGGAAACGGGCGCUAAUACCGCAUACGUCCUGAGGGAGAAAGUGGGGGAUCUUCGGACCUCACGCUAUCAGAUGAGCCUAGGUCGGAUUAGCUAGUUGGUGGGGUAAAGGCCUACCAAGGCGACGAUCCGUAACUGGUCUGAGAGGAUGAUCAGUCACACUGGAACUGAGACACGGUCCAGACUCCUACGGGAGGCAACAGUGGGCGAAUUAUUGGACAAUGGGCCAGAAAGCCUGAUCCAGCCAUGCCGCGUGUGUGAAGAAGGUCUUCGGAUUGUAAAGCACUUUAAGUUGGGAGGAAGGGCAGUAAGUUAAUACCUUGCUGUUUUGACGUUACCAACAGAAUAAGCACCGGCUAACUUCGUGCCAGCAGCCGCGGUAAUACGAAGGGUGCCAAGCGUUAAUCGGAAUUACUGGGCGUAAAGCGCGCGUAGGUGGUUCAGCAAGUUGGAUGUGAAAUUAGAACCCGGGCUCAAGAACGCUGGGGCCAACUGCAUCCAAAAACUACCUGAGCUAGAGUACGGUAGAGGGUGGGUGGAAUUUCCUGUGUAGCGGUGAAAUGCGUAGAUAUAGGAAGGAACACCAGUGGCGAAGGCGACCACACCUGGACCUGAUACUGACACUGAGGUGCGAAAGCGUGGGGAGCAAACAGGAUUAGAUACCCUGGUAGUCCACGCCGUAAACGAUGUCGACUAGCCGUUGGGAUCCUUGAGAUCUUAGUGGCGCAGCUAAAGUUGCGAUAAGUCGACCUGCCUGGGGGAAGAGUGCCCACACGGCCGCAAGGUUAACCUAACUCAAAUGAAUUGACGGGGGCCCGCGCACAAGCGGUGGAGCAUGUUGGUUUAAUUCGAAGCAACGCGAAGAACCUUACCUGGUCUU
RNAcentral lists this ribosomal RNA (971 nucleotides) under Pseudomonas aeruginosa. RNAcentral describes it as "bacterial SSU rRNA". It matches the Rfam family "Bacterial small subunit ribosomal RNA", at positions 58 to 982 of the family's 1533-position model. Lineage: Bacteria; Pseudomonadati; Pseudomonadota; Gammaproteobacteria; Pseudomonadales; Pseudomonadaceae. The record is from RNAcentral.